This 274-nucleotide ribosomal RNA is filed under the name uncultured bacterium. RNAcentral describes it as "partial 16S ribosomal RNA". It matches the Rfam family "Bacterial small subunit ribosomal RNA", at positions 523 to 796 of the family's 1533-position model. The record is from RNAcentral.
AGACGAACCGUCCAAACGUUAUUCGGAAUCACUGGGCUUAAAGGGUGCGUAGGCGGCCGUACAAGUCGGGUGUGAAAUCCCUCGGCUCAACCGAGGAAUUGCGCCCGAAACUGUGCGGCUAGAGGAAGACAGAGGUGAGCGGAACUGGCGGUGGAGCGGUGAAAUGCGUUGAUAUCGCCAGGAACACCAGUGGCGAAGGCGGCUCACUGGGUCUUUUCUGACGCUGAGGCACGAAAGCUUGGGGAGCGAACGGGAUUAGAAACCCCGGUAGUCC